Piliocolobus tephrosceles (Ugandan red Colobus) is the source of this 528-nucleotide long non-coding RNA. RefSeq lists it as uncharacterized. The record is from RefSeq and is a predicted model, not a curated record. The transcript has 6 exons. Lineage: Eukaryota; Metazoa; Chordata; Mammalia; Primates; Cercopithecidae.
GGUGCACUGAAGCUCAGGCCUCUCCUGGUGCCCUGGUCUCCUGCACUGAGCUGUGUGAGCUCUUCUGCCCAGGCAGGCCCCCUGGCAUUGACCAGCAUAGAUGGUGAGCCUGGAGGAAGACUUGUGUUGGACACGCAGGCUGAGGGCCAGUGUCUGUCAGCCAGGUGCUCAGCCCCCAGUGGGCUAAAACUCUGACCAUUCCUGGCACCCUGCUCUCCUGCACUGUGCUGUGAUGGUGAGGCUUCUGUUGGGCUCGCUUUUCCUGGGCCAGUGUCCAUCAGCCAGGUGCUUAGCCCUCAGUGCACUGAAGCUCCAGCCCUUCCUGGUGCCCUGGUCUCCUGCACUGCACUGUGGUGAUGAGCUCUUUCACCUAGGAGGGCCACUUGGCAUUGACUGGCAUAGAUGGUGACCCUAGAGAAAGACUUGGGUUGGGCUCGAAGGCCCCGGGGCCAGUGUCUAUCAGCCAGGUGCUCAGCUCCCAGUGCACCGAAACUCCGACCCUUCCUGGUUCCCUGGUCUCUUGCACUG